This 910-nucleotide ribosomal RNA is filed under the name uncultured bacterium. Its description in RNAcentral is "bacterial SSU rRNA". It matches the Rfam family "Bacterial small subunit ribosomal RNA", at positions 8 to 916 of the family's 1533-position model. The record is from RNAcentral.
AGAGUUUGAUUAUGGCUCAGGAUUAACGCUAGCGGCAGGCCUAAUACAUGCAAGUCGAACGGGAUUCAAGGUAGCAAUAUUUUGAUGAGAGUGGCGCACGGGUGAGUAACACGUAUGCAAUUUGCCUUUAACUGGGGAAUAGCCCUCCGAAAGGAGGAUUAAUACCGCAUAACAUUUCAGAAUGGCAUCAUUUUGAAAUUAAACCUCCGGGGGUUAAAGAUAAGCAUGCAUCCGAUUAGGUAGUUGGUGUGGUAACGGCACACCAAGCCAACGAUCGGUAGGGGGUCUGAGAGGAUGAUCCCCCACACUGGUACUGAGACACGGACCAGACUCCUACGGGAGGCAGCAGUAAGGAAUAUUGGACAAUGGAGGCAACUCUGAUCCAGCCAUGCCGCGUGAAGGAAUAAGGCCCUAUGGGUUGUAAACUUCUUUUAGACGGGACAAAACCCCUUUACGUGUAAAGGGUUGAUGGUACUGUCAGAAUAAGCAUCGGCUAACUUCGUGCCAGCAGCCGCGGUAAUACGAAGGAUGCAAGCGUUAUCCGGAAUUAUUGGGUUUAAAGGGUGCGUAGGCGGACUGAUAAGUCAGUGGUGAAAGCCUGCAGCUUAACUGCAGAAUUGCCGUUGAUACUGUCAGUCUUGAGUACAGUUGAGGUAGGCGGAAUGUGUCAUGUAGCGGUGAAAUGCUUAGAUAUGACACAGAACACCGAUUGCGAAGGCAGCUUGCUAAGCUGUAACUGACGCUGAGGCACGAAAGCGUGGGGAGCAAACAGGAUUAGAUACCCUGGUAGUCCACGCCCUAAACGAUGAUAACUCGCUGUUGGCGAUACACAGCCAGCGGCCAAGCGAAAGCAUUAAGUUAUCCACCUGGGGAGUACGACCGCAAGGUUGAAACUCAAAUGAAUUGACGG